AUUGAACGCUGGCGGCAGGCUUAACACAUGCAAGUCGAACGAGUGGCGGACGGGUGAGUAAUGUCUGGGAAACUGCCCGAUGGAGGGGGAUAACUACUGGAAACGGUAGCUAAUACCGCAUACCAUCAGAUGUGCCCAGAUGGGAUUAGGUAGUGGGUGGGGGAAUGGCUCACCUGGGCGCCGAUCCCUAGCUGGUAUGAGAGGAUGACCAGCCACACUGGAACUGUGACACGGUCCAGACUCCUACGGGAGGCAGCAGUGGGGAAUAUUGCACAAUGGGGGCAAGCCUGAGGCAGCCAUGCCGCGUGAGUGAAGAAGGCCUUCGGGUUGUAAAGCUCUUUCAGUGAGGAGGGGUUACCCGCAGAAGAAGCACCGGCUAACUCCGUGCCAGCAGCCGCGGUAAUUC
This 406-nucleotide ribosomal RNA is filed under the name uncultured bacterium. RNAcentral's name for it is "partial 16S ribosomal RNA". It matches the Rfam family "Bacterial small subunit ribosomal RNA", at positions 30 to 526 of the family's 1533-position model. The record is from RNAcentral.